GUGAGGGUGAGGCACGCUACGCCGUUCGCUACCCGCGGUUUAGGAAAGGUGGCUGGGUAGUCCGCCCAAUCAAAGAGAAACCAUCGUACGGAUACGCAACAAAUCUUAUGGUGGCCUUAGUAGAGGAAUACUCUAGAUCACCACAGGCCCUGCAAGAAAGAAGUGCUGUCUUGUCUUCUGCUGCCCCGCCCCCCCUCACCACUUCCCUUCAGAAGGUUGCCAAGGAUGAGGCAGUCAGCCUCCAUCUCGCACGACACUCACGAUUUGCAACGAACAUGCAAUAAAAGAUCAGUUUUACCAACA
This is a long non-coding RNA of Sardina pilchardus (European sardine), 303 nucleotides long. RefSeq lists it as uncharacterized. Lineage: Eukaryota; Metazoa; Chordata; Actinopteri; Clupeiformes; Clupeidae. The transcript is spliced from 2 exons. The record is from RefSeq and is a predicted model, not a curated record.